GAACCUGUGGGACGAGCAUGCUGUUGGUGGGAUAUAACUGAGUUUAAUCUCAGAGUAAACAAGAUGAGGAGGGAGAGAGGGCUGAUUGCAGCACUUGUUUUCCCAUUGGCUGCACUAAAAACCUUAAAAUUCUGAUGAAUUCUUGUGCACUGCACUGAAUCAGAAGUCUUACCUCAAAACUGACUCCAACUUUGCAAAGAAGUCUGCAGGAAUUUCUACAUAGCCAACUGCUGUCAUUUAUUUGAGCAGCUCAGUACAUAAUUAAGAAGCCUUGGAGCCUGGGACAGCCCUUUAUCUUGAAAAGUGACUCUUCCAGGUGACUGGACAGACCACGAGCAGAAAACUGGUCCUACACCUGCAAAGGACCCCUAAAAACAACCUAAAGUCUCAUAGACGAACAGUUUGGUGUGAAGAUGACAGAGGACAGACUGUUCUGCUGCCUUUUAUGGAGGAAAGAAGCCUUUGUCUGGGGUCUAGGCUGAAAGACAUCUGAAUUUUUUAGAACUAGAGGCAAAAAAAAAAAAAAAAAAAGGAAGCCCAGAUGAAAGACAUAUCAGCCAACUUUCAGGAAACUCCCCCAAACCUUGACACAUUCCAGUCACCAGAGGUACAAAUAGAAACGUAGAAGCCGUGGUGUGAAAUUGUAGGACCUUGUUUAUUCUGCACUUCCUGUCUGCAAAGUGUCUUGGCAUAUAUCUGAACUGCCGACUUGGCAUCGCAUCCUAGAAGAACACAUUUCAAAUACUGCAGUUAUGUUUAUAAGAACGAGUUGCACUUAUUUUUAUGCCUUUCUAAUGCAGAUGCAGCUGAACUAUACUACUGAUUCAUGUAUACACCUCUUUUCCAUAUAGAUGAUGACUGCGUCAGAAAAGCCAGCACUCUGAAAUAGCACACAGUGAAAUACCACAGCAAUUCUCAUUUGAAGUCUAUAGUGGGAGAGAAAUCUCCAAAAAUGAAGGGCAAGGUUCCUAAUCCAUAGCAGCUUUUUGCCAGAAAGAUGUGGGAGAGAAGAAACAGGAUGCAUCCUGCAUGAAUCAUCACUGCAACCACCCUGGAUUUAUUAACUGAAAUAAUGAGGAACACCAAAAAGGAUUAAAACCUCAAAAUGCCUGUUGGAAGGCAUCUUCUCAAGGACUGACUCUUGUGAGCUAUUGCCAUAGACUUCCUGUUGAUAGUAAAGCAGCCAGGACUAAAACAGCCAAGAUUUCAAGACCAAAUAAUGUGUUAAAAAAUAAAUAAAUAGAUAGACAUUCGUCAUCAGUGUCUAUCACAAAAAGAGAUGAAUACAUCCCCAGCAACUUUCCAAAAACCAUUGCUUGAGAUUCUGGUAGCUGGGGACAACAGGCUGAAAGGAUGAGGAACCCAUGAAUCUGUGGAGUGAUCUAGUAGGAAGGAGCAAGACUUUCCUUUCUCUUUAAGCCAUAACCAGCUUCUGUGCUCUGUAUUUUACAAGUUUCAUUUUUAAGGUUGGACCAAUAGAUUCCAUUGAAAUGCAGCUCAUGGCUACCAUGGACCCCAAAUAAAAAUACAUGCUUUACCCAAAGGGUUCUCCUGGUUCUGCAGAGCUCUCCUUGGCAGCUGGCUCCUGGAGGGAAGCCAUUUCCCAGGAUGCUGAUUUCCUUUGCUAUUCUCUAUGAGUUCCUGAUGAGGACCCUUCAUUUCUCUGCUCAGGCUCCUCCUAUUUCUGCCCUUGACUUCUUCAUUCUCCAUGGUCCGCAGUGCUUCCUCCUGCAGUGGGUUCAACUCCAUGAGCUUCCUCUGGGUUCACAGCUCACAGUCACUGUGUUGCUCUCCAUUUUCCAUGUCCUAGCCUUUGUUUCUGCCCCUCUUCCUCCCAGAUUUGGACUGAAAGAUUUGGGUUCUCAAUGGAGAAGAAUACCAUGUUACUCUUAGGCAAUAAAUCCAGCAAUGUGAGGGUCCAGAGCAUCUCUUCAGUGCAGGAGCAUUCCCUGGAAGAAGCUGGAGGAAAAGCUUCACUCAGCAUCACUUCAACAACUCAACAUAAGAAGCGAGGCAUAAAAACAUAAAAAAACAAACAUGAAAACAUAAAAACAGGUACAUUUAUCUCACCUCUGCAAAGUCUGGAAAUGAUGGGCAUGAAUUUACCAGAGAGAGAGAAACAAAGUGAGAAGGUCCUAGACAUCCAUAGCAGAAGGAAUGUUGGGAGAUCAGUGGUCUCCCUGCCAUCUGUGUGCUCUGCUCUAUUGCAGGCUCUCCCUGUAUUCAACAGUGUUCAGCUGGGGAGGCUGAAUACCUCACUAUUUUUAAAGAUAAAUGUUAAUAGGAUUAAUUGCCAGUACUCCAGGAAUGGUGCCAGGGCUAAAAAGUAUCUACUAAGAAACUACCAAGAAAUACUGCUAAGCAGGAUCUAGGAAAAAAGCCAGACACCAAAAUUUAUGAUGCUUAUCUCUGCAAUAAUAAUUUCAUGGUGGUUAACCAAGGAGCAGAACAAAGGUCAUCAGUUUCAUAUCAGCUGGAGUUUGUGCAAUCCUUUGUUUUCUUCUACGUGAGCUUGCCCUGCAAGUUUGAUGCAGGAGACCCUAGAAAUGAAUGGAAAAGCCUGGCAGUUCAGAAUGUGCCAUUUGCAUCUCAUUCUUUGCUCAAGACCAAAGAACAGUGGAUGUCCAAACCAGAAACCUUCCCUUUACUGGUCAAAACCCAACCCAGCUCCUAAUGCAGGGUUAGCACCUUUCACCUCAUUUCAUUAAAUGAGUUAUCCGUAGGACAGGUAUGAUGAACAUCCAUGUUACCGAAACCCCAUGGAUUAACAUGUACAGUCAGGAGAGGUUAUCUAAUAAUUUCGUUCUUGUGCAAAUAAACAUGAGGCUUGACCUCAUCUUGUGUUCUUCUGCUUUCCAGCAGGAAGAGGGACAAACAAGAGACCCUUGGAGACCUCUGAAAAUAAAUAAAAGGAGAUGAGGC
Molecule: long non-coding RNA, 2922 nt
Organism: Coturnix japonica (Japanese quail)
Lineage: Eukaryota; Metazoa; Chordata; Aves; Galliformes; Phasianidae
Source: RefSeq, a predicted model, not a curated record